Molecule: small nuclear RNA, 183 nt
Filed under: Sorex araneus (European shrew)
Lineage: Eukaryota; Metazoa; Chordata; Mammalia; Eulipotyphla; Soricidae
Description: U1 spliceosomal RNA (ENSSARG00000015224.1)
Rfam family: U1 spliceosomal RNA
About the family: U1 is a small nuclear RNA (snRNA) component of the spliceosome (involved in pre-mRNA splicing). Its 5' end forms complementary base pairs with the 5' splice junction, thus defining the 5' donor site of an intron.
Source: RNAcentral
AUACUUAGCUGGCAGGGGAGACACCAAGAUCAUGAAAGUGAUUUUCUUAGGGGUAGGCUUACCCAUUGCUUAUUCAUAAGCACAUCCACUUUGGAUUUGUUUACUCCUAUGAUUUUCCCAAAUGUGGGAAACUCGACUGAAUAAUUUGUGGUAAUGGAGUGACUGCGUUCAUGCUGUGCCUUA